UGCGAGGCCACGUUUCCGAAGCAGCUCGGUGAUCGGCGGCAGCGGCAGACGACGGCAUGAGACUUGAUAGUCCUCCGCAUACGCAGCUCUUGCCAGAAUCGAUCCAUGUCCGAUGAUUUUGGUCUCAGGUCUCAUUUUGUUCCGCGACUACCGCGCCGGGUCGGUGCUUGCCCGACAGUCUUUUAUUAUGGUUUUUCCCGCAACGGGCUUGUAUGGGGCCCACAGCCUCCGCGCAUCCCGCAAAAAGGAUGCUCGGUCCACACUCAAGGACAAGCACGCGAAAGGCCAAAUUCUAGCCACUGGUUUGAAAAAUCUAAAUGGUUGACUCAAGUCAAUACCUUUCCUCUUCUUUAGGAGAAGUGCUCGGCCGUCGUCGUGCACUUCCUCAGCGACUUGCCUGCCCACGGGAUAAAGCACGCGGUGAGUGCGAUUUUGGCCACAGGUGCGUCUGAAAAUUCCGAUAUUAGAGUGAAGUUGUAAUUUCCGUAAUAUUUUUGCCUUCUCCUUGCUUUGUCAGAUCUUGUGUUCUUCAUGAUUCUGCCCUCGGAAAAGGCGGGAUUUGUGAUACUCUUGUUUAAAAUAAAUACAGAUUAAUUUGGGCAUUUCUAUUCUAUAAAUCAAAUUAGUAUCAUGAUUUUGUGAUUUUUGGUUUCCAACUGUUUAUGUGUUAUGGGUCGCAGAUCCAAAAAAAAAUAGCAAAUAACCUAUUGUACCAAAAAAAUGUUUGAGUUGAAAUAAUGCAUGUUCCCUUAGAACAAAA
Non-coding RNA from Elaeis guineensis (African oil palm), 760 nucleotides. The record is from RefSeq and is a predicted model, not a curated record. Lineage: Eukaryota; Viridiplantae; Streptophyta; Magnoliopsida; Arecales; Arecaceae.